Camelina sativa (false flax) is the source of this 1072-nucleotide long non-coding RNA. RefSeq lists it as uncharacterized. The record is from RefSeq and is a predicted model, not a curated record. Lineage: Eukaryota; Viridiplantae; Streptophyta; Magnoliopsida; Brassicales; Brassicaceae.
AAGAGUAUGUAUGGGACCCUAUUUUUAUUUUCUGGACCUCCAACACGUAUCACAGGAGGUUUGAGUAUUUCUAAUUAUAUUGUUCAUUGCUCUCAUUGCUUGGAUCACACUUCUUUUAACUAAAUUUGGAUUUAUAUACGUUGAUGAUAUUUCCAUGGAUGUUUGAUGUAAUUAUAUGCCUUAAAUCCAUUCAACAAAGCUGCCGCUGCUGAUCUCUUGGCCAAGAUAGGGGACUGGCCUCUCCAUUAGUCACUCUAUAUACUUCAGUUCCUUGUCAUUUCGAUCGAUGAUCCACAGAUUCUCUCCUACACGAAUUGUGGAGGCACAGGGGGACUAAUAUGAUCGUGGAGGCACAUCAUUUGUUCAUGGUUAUGCUGGGAAACAAGUGUUACAAGUACAGCUUGCUAGGUCCACCAUCCACCAAUCGGAUUCACGAGUAUUAAGCCAACCACAAGGCAAAAGCUAUAGAUCGAUGAUCCCAUUAUAUGACCCAGCCAUGGAAAAAGAACCUCUACUUUGCUCUGUAACAAUUCCGAGGAUGCAGAGCCAGGUUUCUAUAUCAUUCUUUGUGAGAACUUACUGUAGUUAAGUGGGGUGAGAAACCAUUGUGAGAACCUCUAUUACCGGAGCAGAUACAAAACAUGGAGAACUUUCCUUGCCCAAACCACCACUGCAGUUUUCUCAGAGAGACAAGUCGAUGAACCUUAAUAAAAGCAUCAAACUCCUAGAAAGAUAGCUAAUCAGGCAAAAAAAACCAGUUAACAGUUGUCUCAAGCAAAAUGCAUCAGUCAUCAGCAAAAAUGUGAAAAGGUAUCUGAUACCAACUCUGGUCUCACCUUCAUCUUUGUAUUAUUGCAUGGAAACGAGUGUUGAAAAAAUAGCUAGCACUACCAAACUGAUUAUAGAAAGUCAAGCCACCAAAAAGAAAUAAAGCUAGAUGAUGCAAAAUCAAGACAGGUGAGUCAAAUUGUUACAAAAUCAGAUUCAUGUUGUUGUCUGGCAACGUAACACAGAAACCUCUUUUUUUUGGAUCCGUUGGGUUCAGGACAACAAAGUUGAAUACGCUAAGGAA